This 447-nucleotide ribosomal RNA is filed under the name uncultured bacterium. RNAcentral describes it as "bacterial SSU rRNA". It matches the Rfam family "Bacterial small subunit ribosomal RNA", at positions 329 to 793 of the family's 1533-position model. The record is from RNAcentral.
CGCCAGACUCCUACGGGAGGCAGCAGUGGGGAAUAUUGCACAAUGGGGGAAACCCUGAUGCAGCGACGCCGCGUGAGUGAAGAAGUAUUUCGGUAUGUAAAGCUCUAUCAGCAGGAAAGAAAAUGACGGUACCUGACUAAGAAGCCCCGGCUAACUACGUGCCAGCAGCCGCGGUAAUACGUAGGGGGCAAGCGUUAUCCGGAUUUACUGGGUGUAAAGGGAGCGUAGACGGUGAAGCAAGUCUGAAGUGAAAGCCCCGGGCUUAACCCGGGAAUUGCUUUGGAAACUGUACGGCUGGAGUGCUGGAGAGGUAAGCGGAAUUCCUAGUGUAGCGGUGAAAUGCGUAGAUAUUAGGAGGAACACCAGUGGCGAAGGCGGCUUACUGGACAGUAACUGACGUUGAGGCUCGAAAGCGUGGGGAGCAAACAGGAUUAGAUACCCGCGUAA